AGUGCAAUUGUAGGAUCAUAUGGAGAGAGAAUUUUUAGUUUUGCAAAAAACUGCCAAAUUGUUUCCCAAAUUGCUGUACCAUUUUGGACUCCCACCAGCCGU
RNAcentral lists this microRNA precursor (102 nucleotides) under Marmota monax (woodchuck). The record is from RNAcentral. Lineage: Eukaryota; Metazoa; Chordata; Mammalia; Rodentia; Sciuridae.